AGAUGUUGGAAUUGGUAAUUUUGAAUUGCAUGAAGAGGUGUCCGAGUUAGAUCUUAUGCUUUUACCUACCCAGGACUUAGUGAAAUGUGAAACCGAGCCUGUCGUGUGUGAGGCUGCUGCCACCCGCAGAUUUUCGGCUCCAAUGUCAGAUUCGGGUUUACAAGAAAAAAUUCUUCAAGCUAUCCUAAGAAAACUAAAAAUAACAAAAAGUGGGCUUUAGGAAUCUGGAUUGCUUGGACUUUAGAAAGGAAUUUGUGUAAAGAGACAUUUGCUGACGGUGGUGCUUCAAUACCCAGUGAUCCGAACUGCCUUUCAAACGAACUUUUAAAUUAUUGGAUGGCACACUUUAUACAAGAAUGUCGACGCAUGGAUAGCAGUCCUUUUCCGCCCAAUUUAUUGGUCCAGAUUGCAUCAGGCAUUCAAAGGUAUCUGAGAACAGACUGUAACAGAAAUGACAAACUUUUUUCAAAAAGAAUCCGUUCCAUUUUCGUUUUUUAGAAAAUGUCUAGACAGUAGGAUGAAGGAACCGACUAAUAAUGGUAUUGGCACCAAUGUUAAUACAGCAGACCCUAUAUUGACAUCGGACGAGGAAACCAUGUGGGAUAGUGGGGUUUUCGAUUGUGAAACGGCAACUGGCCUUACAAACAUUGUUUUUUUUCUAUAACUGUAAGCUCUUUGGAUUUCGUGCACUCGAUGAGCACAAAGAACUUGACGCUAGUCAGUAUCAUAUUUCGGUUGAUACGAAUGGUAAUAAGUUACUACAUUAUACCGGGAGACUGUGCAAGAUUGUACAAGGUGGAUUCAAAAACAGAAAUAUUGAUGUGAAACACAAUACUCAGAAAAGUGAUCCAUCAAACCCUAGAUGCUAAGUAAAAAAUUUUGAAAAGUAUUUGUCCCUAAUUCCACAUGAGGGUAGGUUUUACCGCAAGCCACUACCCCAUCAAGCUUCAAAUGGUUCCAUCCGAUUCAGUGUACAGCAUAUAGGAAUAAACACUUUAUCUAGUAAAAUGAAGGAAUUAUUCAAGGCUGCCCGGAUUUCCAUGACCGCUCGCAAUAUAUCCAAUCAUUCUGGAAAAGUUACAUGUUGCACUACACUAUUCAAUGCAGGUUUUACUGAUUCCACUGUAAAGUCAAGGAGAGGUCACCGAUCGUCGGCCCUUGAUACGUAUAAGCGUCCGUUGGAAGCAUUACAAGAGAACGUUAACAAGGUAUUACAGCUGCCAUCAAUAGAUAUAUAAAGAAGGAAAAUGACUUGUCCGUUCCCAACAAUAAUCGAAAUGAAAGCGAAAGCAAAGAAAAUGAUGACAAUACAAUGACAAUAAAUGUGCCAAAUUGUAUUAACAAAGUUGUAAUUAUCAAAAAUGGAAAAAGAUAUUGUUUGGAAAUUUGAACUACUUUGUGUAUUAAAAAUUUAUUCAUCAUU
Mytilus californianus (California mussel) is the source of this 1423-nucleotide long non-coding RNA. RefSeq lists it as uncharacterized. The record is from RefSeq and is a predicted model, not a curated record. The transcript is spliced from 2 exons. NCBI's taxonomy places the organism in Eukaryota, Metazoa, Mollusca, Bivalvia, Mytilida, Mytilidae.